RNAcentral lists this ribosomal RNA (650 nucleotides) under Leuconostoc mesenteroides. RNAcentral's name for it is "bacterial SSU rRNA". It matches the Rfam family "Bacterial small subunit ribosomal RNA", at positions 64 to 700 of the family's 1533-position model. The record is from RNAcentral. Lineage: Bacteria; Bacillati; Bacillota; Bacilli; Lactobacillales; Lactobacillaceae.
GAACACCCGCGAAGGUGCUUGCACCUUUCAGUGAGUGGCGAACGGGUGAGUAACACGUGGACAACCUGCCUCAAGGCUGGGGAUAACAUUUGGAAACAGAUGCUAAUACCGAAUAAAACUUAGUGUCGCAUGACAAAAAGUUAAAAGGCGCUUCGGCGUCACCUAGAGAUGGAUCCGCGGUGCAUUAGUUAGUUGGUGGGGUAAAGGCCUACCAAGACAAUGAUGCAUAGCCGAGUUGAGAGACUGAUCGGCCACAUUGGGACUGAGACACGGCCCAAACUCCUACGGGAGGCUGCAGUAGGGAAUCUUCCACAAUGGGCGAAAGCCUGAUGGAGCAACGCCGCGUGUGUGAUGAAGGCUUUCGGGUCGUAAAGCACUGUUGUAUGGGAAGAACAGCUAGAAUAGGAAAUGAUUUUAGUUUGACGGUACCAUACCAGAAAGGGACGGCUAAAUACGUGCCAGCAGCCGCGGUAAUACGUAUGUCCCGAGCGUUAUCCGGAUUUAUUGGGCGUAAAGCGAGCGCAGACGGUUUAUUAAGUCUGAUGUGAAAGCCCGGAGCUCAACUCCGGAAUGGCAUUGGAAACUGGUUAACUUGAGUGCAGUACAGGUAAGUGGAACUCCAUGUGUAGCGGUGAAUGACAAUAGAUAAU